CUGCAACUGUUUAUUAAAAACACAGCACUGUGCAAACACGAAAGUGGACGUAUACGGUGUGACGCCUGCCCGGUGCCGGAAGGUUAAUUGAUGGGGUCAGCGCAAGCGAAGCUCCUGAUCGAAGCCCCGGUAAACGGCGGCCGUAACUAUAACGGUCCUAAGGUAGCGAAAUUCCUUGUCGGGUAAGUUCCGACCUGCACGAAUGGCGUAAUGAUGGCCAGGCUGUCUCCACCCGAGACUCAGUGAAAUUGAACUCGCUGUGAAGAUGCAGUGUACCCGCGGCAAGACGGAAAGACCCCGUGAACCUUUACUAUAGCUUGACACUGAACAUUGAGCCUUGAUGUGUAGGAUAGGUGGGAGGCUUUGAAGCGUGGACGCCAGUCUGCGUGGAGCCGACCUUGAAAUACCACCCUUUAAUGUUUGAUGUUCUAACGUGGACCCGUAAUCCGGGUUGCGGACAGUGUCUGGUGGGUAGUUUGACUGGGGCGGUCUCCUCCUAAAGAGUAACGGAGGAGCACGAAGGUUGGCUAAUCCUGGUCGGACAUCAGGAGGUUAGUGCAAUGGCAUAAGCCAGCUUGACUGCGAGCGUGACGGCGCGAGCAGGUGCGAAAGCAGGUCAUAGUGAUCCGGUGGUUCUGAAUGGAAGGGCCAUCGCUCAACGGAUAAAAGGUACUCCGGGGAUAACAGGCUGAUACCGCCCAAGAGUUCAUAUCGACGGCGGUGUUUGGCACCUCGAUGUCGGCUCAUCACAUCCUGGGGCUGAAGUAGGUCCCAAGGGUAUGGCUGUUCGCCAUUUAAAGUGGUACGCGAGCUGGGUUUAGAACGUCGUGAGACAGUUCGGUCCCUAUCUGCCGUGGGCGCUGGAGAACUGAGGGGGGCUGCUCCUAGUACGAGAGGACCGGAGUGGACGCAUCACUGGUGUUCGGGUUGUCAUGCCAAUGGCACUGCCCGGUAGCUAAAUGCGGAAGAGAUAAGUGCUGAAAGCAUCUAAGCACGAAACUUGCCCCGAGAUGAGUUCUCCCUGAGACUUUAGGUCUCCUGAAGGAACGUUGAAGACGACGACGUUGAUAGGCCGGGUGUGUAAGCGCAGCGAUGCGUUGAGCUAACCGGUACUAAUGAACCGUGAGGCUUAACCUUACAACGCCGAAG
Molecule: ribosomal RNA, 1149 nt
Filed under: Salmonella enterica subsp. enterica serovar Muenchen
Lineage: Bacteria; Pseudomonadati; Pseudomonadota; Gammaproteobacteria; Enterobacterales; Enterobacteriaceae
Also listed under: 1 other name
Description: partial 23S ribosomal RNA
Rfam family: Bacterial large subunit ribosomal RNA
Source: RNAcentral